CUNAACNCAUGCAAGUCGAGCGGUAGAGAGAAGCUUGCUUNUCUUGAGAGCGGCGGACGGGUGAGUAAUGCCUNGGAAUNUGCNUGGUAGUGGGGGAUAACGUUNGGAAACGNACGCUAAUACCGCAUACNUCNUACGGGAGAAAGCAGGGGNNNUUCGGGCCUUGCGCUAUCAGAUGAGCCUAGGUCGGAUUAGCUAGUUGGUGAGGUAAUGGCUCACCAAGGCGACGAUCCGUAACUGGUCUGAGAGGAUGAUCAGUCACACUGGAACUGAGACACGGUCCAGACUCCUACGGGAGGCAGCAGUGGGGAAUAUUGGACAAUGGGCGAAAGCCUGAUCCAGCCAUGCCGCGUGUGUGAAGAAGGUCUUCGGAUUGUAAAGCACUUUAAGUUGGGAGGAAGGGCAUUAACCUAAUACGUUAGUGUUUUGACGUUACCGACAGAAUAAGCACCGGCUAACUCUGUGCCAGCAGCCGCGGUAAUACAGAGGGUGCAAGCGUUAAUCGGAAUUACUGGGCGUAAAGCGCGCGUAGGUGGUUUGUUAAGUUGGAUGUGAAAUCCCCGGGCUCAACCUGGGAACUGCAUUCAAAACUGACUGACUAGAGUAUGGUAGAGGGUGGUGGAAUUUCCUGUGUAGCGGUGAAAUGCGUAGAUAUAGGAAGGAACACCAGUGGCGAAGGCGACCACCUGGACUAAUACUGACACUGAGGUGCGAAAGCGUGGGGAGCAAACAGGAUUAGAUACCCUGGUAGUCCACGCCGUAAACGAUGUCAACUAGCCGUUGGAAGCCUUGAGCUUUUAGUGGCGCAGCUAACG
This 815-nucleotide ribosomal RNA is filed under the name bacterium. Its description in RNAcentral is "bacterial SSU rRNA". It matches the Rfam family "Bacterial small subunit ribosomal RNA", at positions 47 to 857 of the family's 1533-position model. The record is from RNAcentral.